GAUGAACGCUAGCUACAGGCUUAACACAUGCAAGUCGAGGGGUAACGAGAGGAAAGCUUGCUUUCCUUGUCGACGACCGGCGCACGGGUGAGUAACGCGUAUCCAACCUGCCCCCAACUAGGGAAUAACCUUGCGAAAGUAAGACUAAUACCCUAUAAUUUCCUCAGAUGACAUCUGACGAGGAAUAAAGAUUUAUCGGUUGUGGAUGGGGAUGCGUCUGAUUAGCUUGUUGGCGGGGUAACGGCCCACCAAGGCAACGAUCAGUAGGGGUUCUGAGAGGAAGGUCCCCCGCAUUGGAACUGAGACACGGUCCAAACUCCUACGGGAGGCAGCAGUGAGGAAUAUUGGUCAAUGGGCGGAAGCCUGAACCAGCCAAGUAGCGUUCGGGAUGACGGCCCUAUGGGUUGUAAACUGCUUUUAUACAGGAAUAAAGUUAGCCACGUGUGGUUAUUUGUAGGUACUGUAUGAAUAAGGACCGGCUAAUUCCGUGCCAGCCGCCGCCGUAA
RNAcentral lists this ribosomal RNA (506 nucleotides) under uncultured bacterium. RNAcentral's name for it is "partial 16S ribosomal RNA". It matches the Rfam family "Bacterial small subunit ribosomal RNA", at positions 28 to 523 of the family's 1533-position model. The record is from RNAcentral.